AUUCCGGAAAUUAUGUAAUCACUUAAUCACAAUUAAAAAAAGAAGAACCUCGGGGAAGGUUAGAGAAGUUAGGAAGUGUUAGAGAACAAGUUAAGAGAACUAGUUAGGGUUUAGGAACUAGUUAGGCUUUGGGAAUAUGUUAAGGUCAGGG
Molecule: long non-coding RNA, 151 nt
Organism: Dipodomys ordii (Ord's kangaroo rat)
Lineage: Eukaryota; Metazoa; Chordata; Mammalia; Rodentia; Heteromyidae
Exons: 2
Source: RefSeq, a predicted model, not a curated record